Long non-coding RNA from Chenopodium quinoa (quinoa), 3235 nucleotides. RefSeq lists it as uncharacterized. The record is from RefSeq and is a predicted model, not a curated record. Lineage: Eukaryota; Viridiplantae; Streptophyta; Magnoliopsida; Caryophyllales; Amaranthaceae. The transcript is spliced from 2 exons.
CAUCAAAUAAGAUUUUAACUGCUUACUUUAUCUUCUCUCCAAGAAAUCAGUUUUCCUGAUUUUACUCCACGUUUAACGAAGUGCACCAGACUUUGACUACCAUGUUAACACGUUUCUCUACUGCCCAAGAAAUUGGAAAUUGCCUAAAAAUAAGGAAACUUAUUGUUAGUGGAGAAUUAAGUGGGCGUAGUGGUUAAGUCUUAUGCAUGCUAUAAAAGGAGAGUUAAGUUUUAUUUUCAAUAUGUCUGACUUUAGUGAGUCAUUCCAAAAUAGCGUAUGUUUAAACUGGAAGAGCAGUAGAAAAGAAUUAUAUUUUUUCUCCAUGUUUUUGAGUCAGUUCCUUCAGGUUCCAAGUUCCUUAUAAGUCUCAAAGUGUCCAACAUAUUAUUUUUAUAUAGUACAUCUUUCAUAUGUAUUUGGGAGUUGUUAAAGGGUUUUAGUGAACUCUUGUAAUGGGGAAUUUAUGAGGGUUUGAGUGAAUUCUUGUAUUGGGGUGAGAACUUGAAUGAGUUCUUUGUAUUAAGAGGAAGAUCAGAGUAAGAGUAAGAGUAAGGCUUUGAGUGAAGUCUUAAGUCGUUAGAGAGAGAGAGUUAAAGUAAUCAACUGAUUGAGGGAUUAGUUGAUUGGGGAACUCGGGUGCGUUGAGGAACUCGACAGAGGCUCAAGUUCCUUAUAGGUUGUAAUAGAGCCGUCGACCUAUUUUAGUGGAAUGUUUCGAGUCAAAAUCCCAUGGGGUCGAGGUUUUUCACUUCCUAUUUGGCCUAGGAAGUUUUCCUCGUAAAAUCCCUUUUAUACUAUUUCUCUAUUUUAGUUUAGUUUCUUUUAUUUCCGCAAAAAGUGACUAGCAACCUCCAUACUACAAUUCACCCCCCCUCUUGUAGUAUUUCAUCUAAAUAACUUUUGUAUCAGAGCAGGUUUCUCGAAGAAAUCAAGAAACCCUGAUGAGCAAGUUCUUGGCUAAGAUGAGUACGUAGUACAAGAAAAUUAAAGGAAGGAACUCAGCAUUGCGUUGUUCCAAGCACCAUGUGGAAAUUAGCUUUUACUAGAGAAGUGAAAGAUAUUCAAAGACUCAUACUUUUAAGGUUUAUAAAUCAUGAUUGAGACAACAUUUGAAGCAAUGGUCAACAUCAAAUUUAUCGUAAGAAAAGAAGAGAUGAAAACCCAUUUGAUUCGUUGAAAUAAGGAAGAGGAACUAACGCCCGGUGAUACUUACAAUGUUGAAUAAGUUCCAGUUCCACCAACAGGUUAUUUCCUUUCGAAGAUUGCAAUACAUAUCAACGAUUCAACCCAUAUGAACUAUAUUAAUAGAAGUUCCCUUAAGCAUUUUAUAGGAAUUUUUCUAAUGUGAGGAUAUUAUAUUUUCAACUGCUCAUUCUUUUUCUUAUGUUAACUCAUGUUGUCUAUUUUGUUAAUAUAAUGAUAAACUUAAUUAUUUCUUCAUGAUUUUUGUGCAGUUAAAUUUAUAAUUAUCUGUAGGCUUUAUAUCUUGAUUUAAUAAUUAGAAAUGCAUGAUAGCUAGUCUCAUAGACCUAAGGAACUGAACCUAAGGUCUGUUAGUAUUAGUUUAGUGAAUUCAAGAUGCAGGAACUGUAUGAAUGGUACAGGGAACUGCCUGGUAUGAUAUUAAGGUGUUAAAGAGUCUAAUGAACAAAGUUAUUUUCUUGUUUUCUAUUUUUGAAUGCCAAAACAAAAGAUUUCUUGUGAUUUGGUAUUAUUAUCAUGUUUCAGUUAUUAUAUCUUGGACUAACCUACUGAUCAUAGCACUACACAAUAUAAUUAAAAAAAUGUUCAUGGAAACCAAAAGAAUAUGUUACAGUUUAAGAUCAAGAGGAACAUGAAGAUAUAUAAAGACGAUAUCUAGUGAGGGGGAAUAACUCAUGGUAUCUCGACAUUGGGUGCUCCUAACAUGUGAUGGAAGGCACGACAAAAGUUAACUCGCUAGUGGCCUACGAUGGAAGAGCUUCAACUUUUGGCAUAUACUUAAAAGGUUGGUAAGUUAAGUUCCUACUCCAUUGUGAACAUUCUUUCGAGAUCAUGAAUCACAUUAUGAUAUGUUCAAAGUUUUGUAACUUUAUUUGUUUUACCAAUAACAAUUCAUCAUCUAUAAAACUAGAAGUGUCAUAUUGAAAGGGAAUCGAUGAAGGAACUCAUACUAUGUAUGAGGGUCACAAUUUGGUUCCUUACAAUAACCUGACAUUUCAAGGAUUUAUUGAAGAUGAAUUCUUCUGUAUCUCAAAUGUAUUUGACAUACUGAUUUUCCAUACUUGAUAAACAUCAAGAAACUUUAUUGUUAGUUUACCAUACAUCAAGUUCCUUACCAUAAGUUUGUGAAGUAUGAAAAGUGAGUGAUUCUGUCUAAUUUAUCUUCUUUCAAAGCAAAAUAAUGAUAAGGAACACAAACCUAUUGAAUCUCAUUCAUUUGGACUUUUGUGACUUUUUCAGUGUUUAUUUUGAAAGAGAUAUGUCUUGGUUAUAUUUGAUGAUUAUCAUAGGAAUAUUUAACCACUUUCCUUAGAAUAUAACAAAGAUUAUAUUUUUGUUAUCUUUUCUAUAAGGUAUUCGGUGAUUAAGUAGUAAUCAAAUGUUAUAUUAAAGAUCUAACCAUGGAACCAAGUUCCUUUGAAGUUUUAUAUUUUGUGCAGGAACAAAGUAUUGAUUACAAGCUCUCAAUGUUGAAAUCACUACAAAGUUAUCAAUGCUACUUGCUACAUCAUAUACAAGGAAAUGGUUAGACUUUUGAGAAACAAGGCACCCUUCAUUUGAAAAGGGAAGUUUGAUGAUAGAAGUGAUAAGGUGGUGUUCUUAUGGUGCACCUCCAAGUGUGAAACAUGUAAAGGUUACAACUAGGUAUUAAUGUGCAUUGAGUGACCAUAAAUUUUAUGAAACUAACAUGUUUGUUCCCAGCAUGUAGGUUUAAGAGAAUUUAGUGUUAAACUCAUUAGUUUCUUUGAGACUAGUGGAGUUUCUAUAGAAGUAUGUCACUUUAUAAAAGUAGCAUCAAUCAACUACAUUGUCCUACAGCUCCUUAGAAGCUCCAACAUAUCAUAAAGUGUUGGUUCCUUAAGGAACUUAGAGCAUAGCUUGACCAAGGAACAUAUGAAGCCUUACAACACGGUACAAAGGAACAAGCUAAGAUGCAGAACCUUGAACUUAUUCAGAAACACAAAAAAAAAUCAUUUGAUAAGUUUUUAUGAAUAUAUUUGAGCAUAGUUCCUAGAUCAAGGAACUUUGUCAA